AUCUGGAAAAGAGGAGAGAAAGAGCCAGGUAUCAGUUUAAGAUGAAUUCUCCCAAAAGGGGCAUGACCUAGCAGCUAUCGCAUCACUAAAGCGCUGCUAGCCGGUCCCUGCGCUACCAACGGAUUAAACGCAGGAGUUGGGCUGAAACUUGUGUCUUGGUCACCCCACUGAGCUUGUUUCUGCUGGGGCUCUUUGAGCGCUGGACUAGAAAUUCUCUGCUCAGCACCCGGGCAAGCUGUUCCCAUCAGCAAAACCCAGUGCCCGAUAGCUGUCAUCUGUGUGGGGGUGGAUGGGUGCAGUUCAUGAAAGAUCCAUCGUAGGACCCAGCGUGGGCUCGUGGAGCUCCAGGAACUCCCCAGGAGCACCCAUCCUGCUGGCUGCACCCUCUUGCCUGGCCAGGGGGUGGCUGGUUCCACCUCAGUGCCACCUCUUAGCCACAGGGUGGGUCAAUGAGAGGACAGCACAUGGUGCCGUGGUGGAUUCUAAGCCCACCACUGGCUCCUGGGGUGACGGCAAUUCCUUGAGAGCAUCCCGGCUCCCCAGUUGGCUACUCCAGGGCUAUGAUGUGGCAACAGAAGCAGAGGGACACCCUGCUGCCACCAGGUUCCCUGCAGCCCUCGGGGAGGGUCUCUGCCACCUCCCAGGGCAAGAGGAGACCAGAUAGCAUCACGCAGAAGGCACGGAGGUGGUGUCUUCUCAGCGCCGCUCCGUGUCCCCCGGAGCCGCGGAUGCGCGGGGGGCUCCGUGACGAAGCCCAACACCGCCACAGCCGAGCAGGGACACAGUCCUGGGGCCAAACCUCAGCGCUGGCUCCCGGUGGCCACGGCAGGAGGUGCCCCCGAGGGCCGCUGCCCCUGCCCCGGACGCAGCGUCCCGGGGCGCAGCGGGGACCUGCGGCUCUCGCGGGCAGCGCGUUCCCUCCCCAGCAGCCACCAGGCAUUUCCCUCCUCCAUUUUCUCCACCAGAUCAUCGGCACGACUUUCUCGGCAGAGGAAGAGAAGCCCGAGAGGCUCCGGCAACGUUUUUCUCCCCCCCAACCCCCCAUCCCACGGGGCACCUCGACACGGAGGGAGGACCAGGCGAGGGUUGCUGUAGUUGUACAAUGUGAAGGACGGACCGACGUACGCUGGCAGAGCUACGGCAGUUGCUUAUCCGCCUGAAGCAAGGGAGCCCAGUGCUUCCAUGAGCCGAGGAGCGGGGUCUGCAGGGAAAGAGCCGUUUGUCAAACACGAGCAUCCCCCUGGCUGCGGUGAGGGGAGAGGAGCCGCUACCGCAGAUCGAGAACGCUUCCAGAGGGAAAAAUACCGCUUUGGUUUGGUGUCUAAUUAGAUAUUUACCAGGAAGGAAGGAAAGUUAAAAAUAGGGUGACAGUGACUUCAAAAGGUGUUUUUGACUUCUAAGAAUAACACCUUUGCUGGCACUGGUUUCAGGAAUAUCAACUGUGCUUGGGUGUGAAAAACAGAGAUGUUGCAGCUUGGUCGGUAGCUGAAGGAGCAAACGCGGACCCCCUGGCCUCGCAGGAGCUGCUAAACGGGGGACGUUUGCAUCCCUGAGAGGACCUGUGGAGAGCUCGACUGCACCCACAGAGACACAGCGGAGGGAGUGUGGAAAAGACAAAGCCGCCAGUGCCCCAACGUGGGUGUGAGAGGGCGUGUGGCACCAUGGGGACCCUCUCCCUGCUGGCAGUGCUGGUGCUCACCCUGACACUGGCAGGGCUCUCAGCUCCCCAAGCAGCACACGGGCAGCCCAACUUCAUCGUCAUCCUGGCAGAUGAUGUGGGCUGGGGUGACCUUGGGGCCAACUGGGCGGAGACAAAGGAGACCCCGCAUUUGGAUGAGCUGGCUGCCGAAGGGAUGAGGUUGGUGGAUUUCCACUCAGCUGCCUCCACUUGCUCACCUUCCCGCGCCUCUCUGCUCACGGGGCGCCUCGGGGCGCGCAACGGGGUGACUCACAACUUCGCCAUCACGUCUGUUGGUGGCCUCCCCCUGAACGAGACCACCCUGGCUGAGGUCCUGCGGGAAGCUGGGUACAGCACGGGGGCUAUAGGCAAGUGGCACCUUGGACACCACGGCCGCCAUCACCCCAGCUUCCGUGGCUUCGACUACUACUUUGGGAUCCCCUACAGCAAUGACAUGGGCUGCACGGACACUCCUGGCUACAACCUCCCACCGUGCCCAUCCUGCCCUCGGCACGGUGCUGCUGACAGCAGGGUGACGAGAAAGGACUGUUACACAGAGGUGGCCCUUCCUCUCUUUGAGAACGUCACCAUUGUCCAACAGCCUGUCAACCUCAGCAGCCUGGCGGCGCGCUAUGCAGAGGAGGCGUCACGGUUCAUCCAGAGGGCAAGCGACAGUGGCCGCCCCUUCUUCCUCUACCUGGCGCUGGCCCAUAUGCACGUCCCGCUGGAGGUCCCCCUGCCCCACGCCUCGGGCAGAGGCAUCUACGGAGCCUCCCUGAGCGAGAUGGAUAUGCUGGUGGGACAGAUAAAGCAGGUCGCGGACAGACACGGGAAGGGCAACACCCUCCUCUGGUUUGCAGGUGACAACGGGCCCUGGGCACAGAAGUGCGAGCUGGCAGGACGCGUGGGGCCGUUUGUGGGUGCCUGGCAGAGGCAGCGAGGUGGGAGCUCAGCAAAGCAAACGACCUGGGAAGGAGGGCACCGUGUGCCGGCACUGGCGUAUUGGCCUGGCCGCAUCCCUGCCAAGCAGACGAGCCACGCUCUGCUGAGCACUCUGGACAUCUUCCCUACGCUGGUGGCCCUGGCUGGGGCGACGCUUCCCCCGAACAGGCGUUUUGACGGCUUGGACGUGUCCCCUGUUCUCUUUGGGUGGUCAGACGUGGGGCACAAGGUUCUGCUCCACCCCAACAGUGGGGCAGCUGGGAAGGAUGGCGGGAUAGAGACCCUACGGCUGGCUCAGUACAAGGCGUUUUACACCACAGGAGGGGCAAAAGCUUGUGAUGGGAGCAUCGGGCCAGCUGAGCAUCACCAGCCACCUCUCAUUUUCAAUCUCGAUCGUGAUAUCCAGGAGCAAGAGCCUUUGGACAUGGCAUCUAGAGAGUAUCAGGCAGUGCUGCCUGCAAUCAGCAGGGCUUACGCCCAAGCUCUGGAGGACAUCGCAACAGACAACGUCUCAAUUGCAGAUUACUCUAAAGACCCGGCUGUGAUCCCCUGCUGCAACGCGCAGCACGUGGCUUGCCGAUGCCAAGCGCUUGGGACUCAUGCAUCCAUGCUGGAUCGUCACAUGGAAAGAAAAGCAACACGGCUUUGUCUUUAGGCAAACCUUCACUCAGGCUGCUCCUUUCCUGAGUUUGCUUUCUGUGAACGGGACUGUUGGUUCCAUGCUGGAGGGUGGAAAUGGAGAAAAAGGAUGGAGGUUGCAGUCCCCUUUGCUCUGUGCUGUGCAGAUGGAUCCAGUGACUCCUCGGCUGCUUCAGCUUCAAGCUGCUUUUCACACACCUUUAACACUGCUCCUUGUACUCUUUUCCCAUGUAGUCUUCACUGUUCUGUGCUCAGGCUUCUUACCCGGCUGGCUUGGCCUGGAUCUCCUUAUCCUCAGCUAACCUGUUGUGCCAAUGUACUCUCAUUUAUUCCGUCGCUGAAUGCUGCAAUGCUUUAUGCUUGCAGGAUAAUACUGAGUCAGGCGAGUCUGAGGGGUUGAUAUGAUUGCAGGAUAGUAAUCGCAAUAAAAAGCCUUGCCUUCUCUCCUUCCCAGUGACCAUUCUUUGCUUCUAUUACUGUUGAUAAAUAGCACCAUAAAAAUUAAAGUAAUAGAUCUAGUCAUUGUAAGGACUUCUGGGAAGCUUUGUUAAAAAGCAAACAAUUUAUCUUCCCACUUGGGAUAUUUCACAUGCUUUUUGAAGACAAAUUUAUUGGUCUUUUAUGAGACCAGGAAUAUGUAUGCUACAUGACUUAAUGCAGAAUGGAGAUAAGCCAAAUGCUCAAGAAUGAAGAGGUGACAUUAUCACUCAGUUGAUGAAGGAAUUAUGAUGAUCUUGAAGAGGACUGGUGUUUUUAAUCAUGAAAACAGUGCUUUUGAUUCCUUCUUAUGAGGCUGAAGCAGAAUUGGCUAAAUAUGUAAAGCCAACAGUAGAGUACCUUACAAAAUGAGUGGGUGAGAUGUCCAGGUUCUCCAAGGUAGUCAGGUAGCCAAAUCUUCUUAACUUGCAAGGACCUAAAUAUCUGUGGACACUUUCAUCUAGAAUCUGCCUAGAAAUAUCAUACUUCAGGCAGUAUUUCUUGGUUUUAAAUGAGAGCAAUCAGGCUGCUAAAAUCCAGAAAGACCUAUUUCUGCAAGUCCGUGCUGUAACACAUGAUGAUUCCCUGGGGAGUCAUCUUGUCUAUGCUCAGACUUGGCCAGUAUUUACCAGUCUCGACAACUGAAUGUCCCACCACUAAGAACGUGUGAUGGUUACCAUCACUGAAAUCACUACCAUGCUAACCCACAGUGCUUGACAUCAGGGUGUGAACCAGGACUGAUCACUAGAUUUGUCUAAAAAACAAAUAUAGUGGUGCUCUUGGAUGGGCUCUGCUUCAGGAUUGGAGAUGAUACCGAAUUAGAGAAACGGCUCUAUGGAGUUCAUAGUAAAUGUAACCAUAAGCAGCGGGUACAGUUCUCCACCUCAUCCCCCUUUGUGAUGACUUGAUGGAGGUGUCACGCCGUGUCUCUGGUGCCUGUGUUUGCUGUACGGUGCUGGCAGCCUGGGCAGCUCUGCUGUGCUCUUCAGCAGCCACAGCCUCCGGCAACAGAUUGCUUCAUGAGAAAAUCUGAUGCAUAAAAUUGUUUGAAAUGAAAGUUGUGGGAACAGUACUGACGGUAAUGCAAGUUAUUUACUUGGGAAUGCUUAUUACUUAAUUAGACAGUUAAGGCCUAGGUCUGACUGUAAUCCAGACCAAAUGGAACAGGGCUUGCUUUGUUUUUAAUUGCUCUUACAUCUUUGACAGUGUAAGAAUUAACACAUGAAUAUGUAUGAACAUAUGCUAACUUUCAAAGGUAAAUCAGUGCUGAGUCAUGAUGAAGGAGCUGUGGGCAGUUAACAAGAGGGACCCCAGGCUGGCAUCACAAGGCUCCUUUGGAAAGCCGGUUCCGUUCCCUUUAUUGCACUCCUGCCUUGCCAUCUGAACUCUCCGGCUCCAAAGCUCGGGAAAGGAUUGCAUCAGGAGCUGUACAACAGAAUACUUGUUUUCUUAAUAAAGAGAAUGUUGCAGAGCAGGUU
RNA transcript from Cuculus canorus (common cuckoo), 5214 nucleotides. It is a transcript of the gene named arylsulfatase G, with no coding region annotated. The record is from RefSeq and is a predicted model, not a curated record. The transcript is spliced from 13 exons. Lineage: Eukaryota; Metazoa; Chordata; Aves; Cuculiformes; Cuculidae.